ACAGAAUUUCAGAAUUGACAGUUUGACACAAACUUCUAUAUUUAUCUCUUCAUUUGACACGAGUUAUUUAUUUAUUUAGUUAUAAUUCUUGAACAUGUACAUCUAUGUAUCACAGGGAUGUCUUUCACAACAUAGCAGUCCAGCUAUAGGCAUAACAGAGCAUUCACAAUCACAGGUGAUACAUCAAGAGCAAGCAGUUAUUUAUCGCAGAAUACACCAAACAUUAGUUCCACUGAAGAAGCAGAAAUUGAAGAACAAAGGUAGCGAUAACCAAUGGGUUCUACCUGCAUCCUGGUCUGGAGCAUAACCUCCUGUAGGUGGAGUGCAGCUGACUGCUGGAGUACAAUUGAGAUCCAACAAAGGUGGAGUGCAAUUGAGUGAUGUUGCAAGGUUGUCUGGCCGGAGCCAGAGACGAACAUGGCGGAGGCGAGCAACAACAAUUUGUUAGCGGCAGGAGCCUGGAGCAACUGGAGCGGAGCUGUGCGUGCUGGAGAUCGAGGCGAUCCUGGUGUCCUGGGCAGCGAGGAAGAGG
Long non-coding RNA from Lolium rigidum, 532 nucleotides. RefSeq lists it as uncharacterized. Lineage: Eukaryota; Viridiplantae; Streptophyta; Magnoliopsida; Poales; Poaceae. The transcript has 3 exons. The record is from RefSeq and is a predicted model, not a curated record.